CGAGUCGGCUGGGCGGUCGCGUCGGCACCCCCACCGGGAUGCCGCCGAGGAACGUCCGGACUCCGCAGAGCAGGGUGGUUGCUAACGGCAACCCGGGGUGACCCGCGGGAAAGUGCCACAGAGAACAGACCGCCGGCCCACGGGCCGGUAAGGGUGAAACGGUGGGGUAAGAGCCCACCAGCACCCCGGGCGACCGGGGUGGCUCGGUAAACCCCACCCGGAGCAAGGCCAAGAAAGGCCGCCGCCGCAAGGCAGCGACCGGCGCAGGCGUCCGAGGGCUGCUCGCCCGAGCCUGCGGGUAGGCCGCAAGAGCCUGUCGGCAACGGCAGGCCGAGAUGGAUGACCGCCCAGCGGCGAGAGAUCGCCGCGGACAGAAUCCGGCGUACAGGCCGACUCGUCCG
RNAcentral lists this RNase P RNA (401 nucleotides) under Couchioplanes caeruleus. RNAcentral's name for it is "RNase P RNA component class A". It matches the Rfam family "Bacterial RNase P class A". Rfam says of the family: Ribonuclease P (RNase P) is a ubiquitous endoribonuclease, found in archaea, bacteria and eukarya as well as chloroplasts and mitochondria. Lineage: Bacteria; Bacillati; Actinomycetota; Actinomycetes; Micromonosporales; Micromonosporaceae. The record is from RNAcentral.